Molecule: ribosomal RNA, 729 nt
Filed under: Triticum aestivum (bread wheat)
Lineage: Eukaryota; Viridiplantae; Streptophyta; Magnoliopsida; Poales; Poaceae
Description: partial small subunit ribosomal RNA
Source: RNAcentral
AUGAUGGACGACGGCAGCCGGCCGACCCUCUCGACGCCCUCCUCGAAGACCACACCCAUGCCCAUGAACACAUGCGCCUCCACGUGGCAGUGGAACAGCCACACCCCCGGGUUGUCCGCCCGGAACCGCACCGCCGUCCACCCAUCCGGGUGCAGCGGCACCGUGUUCUUCAUGAUCGGAUCUCUCACGUUGAGCAGCCUCCAGGCGUCCGCGGCCGGGUUGAACUUACCUUCGCCGUGGCCGAGCACCCAGAAGUCGUGCCCAUGGAGAUGCCACGGGUGCGUCUCGCUCUUGUUGUUGAGCAUGUUGGAGUUCUGCAGCACCACGUCCACCACGGAGCCGAGCGCCAGCCGGUACACCGGGCUGCCCACGGUCCCGUUCGUCGGCGCCGGCGCGGAGAUGUCGUGGCUCAUGUGGUCGUACAUGUCGGGCGGCGGGCGUUGCUCGUACGCGUCUUUCAUGCCGCGCUUCAUCGCCACGAGGUACGGCGUGGCCGGGAACAUGAGCGACACGCCAUUGAUGGUCCACUUGAUGUGGCCAUCGAUCCGGUUCUGGGUGUUGAGGAGGAGCAGCGUGCGGUCGGCCCUCGCCGGCAUGGGCUCGACGAAGCGUGGGUGCGCGAAGAUGGCCCUGCUCUGCUCCACCCUGAUAGCCGUGUUGUUCCAUGCCGGGCCAGCCGGUGGCGCCGUGGGCGGAGGCAUCCACGGGUUGUUGCCGUUGAAGGCGUAG